RNAcentral lists this ribosomal RNA (557 nucleotides) under Halammohydra sp. k LT-2022. RNAcentral describes it as "partial large subunit ribosomal RNA". The stretch from base 424 to 557 matches the Rfam family "Archaeal large subunit ribosomal RNA", at positions 2542 to 2675 of the family's 2987-position model. The record is from RNAcentral. Lineage: Eukaryota; Metazoa; Cnidaria; Hydrozoa; Actinulida; Halammohydridae.
UUAUAUAAUUAAUUAUAGGUGGGACCUGGUCAAUGAAUAAGAAAAUUUAAAUUUUCUUAUUUAAAUUCAUGCCUUACUUCGAGGAGGGUAAUAAUGUAGCAUAAUAAUUAGAUAUUUAAUUGAUGUCUGGAAUGAAUGGUGAAAUGAUUAUAAGAUUGUCUUAAAUUUAUAAAAAAAAAUUGAAAUAAUAGUUAAGAUUCUAUUUUUAUAAGGAAAGACGAGAAGACCCUAUAAACCUUUACUAAAAUUUAUUAUUUUUUUAUAUAAAAAUAAAUAAAUAGUUAGUUCAGCUGGGGCAGCUAUCUUUUAUAAAAAAAAAAUGAUUUUAUUAUCGUUUAUUUAAUAAAAUUAACGAUUAUUGAAAUAAUUAUGACCUUAUAAAUAUUAUUUUUUUUAUAAUUUUUAAAUAAAAGGUACUUUAGGGAUAACAGCGUGAUUUAAAAAUAGAGACGAAAUCAAAUUUUAAGCUUGCGACCUCGAUGUUGAAUUUAGAUAUCCUUCAAUUGUAGGGGAUUGAAAAGGUUAGAUUGUUCAUCUAUUAAAAUCUUACAUGAUUU